AUAACACUUACACAAAGACCAAAAUCGAAGCCGCCCCCAACGCUCUGUUUAGCCCCCAUCGUUGCCAUCGAAGCGGUGAACUCCAAAAGGCGAAAGCCCAUCAAAGUCGAGACCUUCAACCAUAGACCAUUCGACAGUAAGCCCUCAAUUUUUUGUCGGCGCCGAUUCUCUUCUUAGUAUCAUUUGUCGGCGUCGAUUCUGACAGUAAGCCCUCAAUUUUCUUUUAAAUGUUUGUUUCUUCUCCACUGUUUUUAGUUUUUAUCACUGCUACCAUUUUUUUCUCGUACAAACAUUAUAACAAAAGAAAGAGCAGUAGAAAAAGAAGUAAAUUUUAUAGUAGAAUUAAUUAACAUUACAAAUGAACAAUUUUUUCCCUGUAGGUUGAAGAAGGAAAAGAUAUUUAAUUUAAAUGUAAAACCCUCUCUAUCUUUAGCUUCGCAAAUUUUAGAUUUUAUUUUUUUCACACUGCUAUCUACUAAGCCCUAUUUUAUCAUCAUUGGAAGUUGAAAAACUUGAUUCCAGAGGCAAAGCUAAUGAAGAAACUAAGAAUUCAUUCGCCUACAGGCUACAGUUCUUGUUAUUUCGAAUUUAAUGUUAUAUAUGAACUCUUUAUUGUAGAGAAAAUGUUGACUCUUGAUUCGGUUUGUUAAACUCAUUAGUUAGGAAAUUAGUUAGUGAGUUAGAAAGUUAGUUAGGAGCCUUAGAUUCUAAAUAAUUGUCUGGUAAUAGUUGUAACUGGAUCUUGCAUACACUUCUUGUAAAUCUCUGUGACCUUUUCCUAUAAAUGUGAUCGAGGUUGAGAACGUGAAAGUGUGAGCAAGAGAAUGUGGAGAAUCACAUUCUGUGAGUGAGCAAGAGAGAUGAUAUUCUUUAGCAAGAGAAAGUGAGAUGGUGAGAGAAAAUCUCUGUAACACCAUCUUCUGUAACUUUCUAUGAGAGCUUACUAGUAAGGUUUUCUGGUUCUUCCCGGUUGAGUGGUGAGUGGUGGUGUUUUGUGUAAGAUACACACUAUGUAAUUUCCUCUUUUAAUGGCAAAUUGACUGGGGUUAAAUCCCUGCAAUGGUUGAUGAAAUUUUGUCCCAAAAACUUGAAGUUCUUGUGUCCAUUAAUCUCAAUUCUUUCCUGGUUUUAUGUUUC
RNAcentral lists this long non-coding RNA (1137 nucleotides) under Olea europaea subsp. europaea. The record is from RNAcentral. Lineage: Eukaryota; Viridiplantae; Streptophyta; Magnoliopsida; Lamiales; Oleaceae.